This 315-nucleotide ribosomal RNA is filed under the name Triticum aestivum (bread wheat). RNAcentral describes it as "partial small subunit ribosomal RNA". Lineage: Eukaryota; Viridiplantae; Streptophyta; Magnoliopsida; Poales; Poaceae. The record is from RNAcentral.
AUGAGUUGUUGUAUGUUCUUUAUUGCUCAUUGGAACAAUGAACUGAUUGCAUAUGAUUUGAACAAUGAACAGAUUACAAGUUGGGCAGUUAUUGCUGAGGUGCUCCGUUACGUUCUCAAGAAUUGUCUUCACAAAGCUUCAAAUAGAGAUAUUGUUGUUUCGGAAAAUGCCAACUUCAGUUUUCAGUUUGAUCUGUACUCUUUCAUAUCUAGCACUGUCUCUUGCUGCAUAUUUUCCUCAUGGACAUGUUGGUACAAGACUACAGGUUGUACUCCCUCCGUUCCCAAAUAUAAGUCUAAAAAGACUUAUAUUUAG